This 236-nucleotide long non-coding RNA is filed under the name Mytilus galloprovincialis (Mediterranean mussel). Lineage: Eukaryota; Metazoa; Mollusca; Bivalvia; Mytilida; Mytilidae. The record is from RNAcentral.
GUGGGUUGAACCUGGUUUUGUGGCAUGCCAAACCUCGCACUUUAAUGGCAAUGUUAAAUAUAACAUAGAAAUGACAACAUAAUAUUACAGGACUACAAUACAAAUAAAUAGGAAAACGUAUUAGACAAAGAAACACAUGAUUAAUGAAUAACAAAAAGCAUCAGGUUUAAAAUUUAAUACGUCAAAAACGCGCCUCGUCCACACAAGACUCACCAGUGACGCCCAGAUAUAAAAGA